AGCGAACGCUGGCGGCAGGCUUAACACAUGCAAGUCGAGCGGGCAUCCUUGUGGUGUCAGCGGCAGACGGGUGAGUAACGCGUGGGAACGUGCCCUUCGGUUCGGAAUAACUCAGGGAAACUUGAGCUAAUACCGGAUACGUGCGAGAGCAGAAAGGUUUAUCUGCCGAAGGAUCGGCCCGCGUCUGAUUAGCUAGUUGGUGAGGUUACGGCUCACCAAGGCGACGAUCAGUAGCUGGUCUGAGAGGAUGAUCAGCCACACUGGGACUGAGACACGGCCCAGACUCCUACGGGAGGCAGCAGUGGGGAAUAUUGGACAAUGGGGGCAACCCUGAGCCAGCCAUGCCGCGUGAGUGAUGACGGCCCUAGGGUUGUAAAGCUCUUUUCUCCGGGACGAUAAUGACGGUACCGGAGGAAUAAGCCCCGGCUAACUUCGUG
Molecule: ribosomal RNA, 437 nt
Filed under: uncultured bacterium
Lineage: Bacteria
Description: partial 16S ribosomal RNA
Rfam family: Bacterial small subunit ribosomal RNA
Source: RNAcentral